GAUGAAGAACGCAGCGAAAUGCGAUAAGUAAUGUGAAUUGCAGAAUUCAGUGAAUCAUCGAAUCUCUGAACGCACAUUGCGCCCCCUGGUAUUCCGGGGGGCAUGCCUGUCCGAGCGUCAUUACAACCCUCAAGCUCAGCUUGGUGUUGGGCCCCGCCGCCCCGGCGGGCCCUAAAGUCAGUGGCGGUGCCGUCCGGCUCCGAGCGUAGUAAUUCUUCUCGCUCUGGAGGUCCGGUCGUGUGCUCGCCAGCAACCCCCAAUUUUUUUCAGGUUGACCUCGGAUCAGGUAGGGAUACCCGCUGAACUUAAGCAUAUCAAUAAGCGGAGGA
Molecule: unclassified non-coding RNA, 329 nt
Filed under: soil metagenome
Description: partial contains 5.8S ribosomal RNA, internal transcribed spacer 2, and large subunit ribosomal RNA
Rfam family: 5.8S ribosomal RNA (bases 1-120)
Source: RNAcentral